RNA transcript from Cuculus canorus (common cuckoo), 3344 nucleotides. It is a transcript of the gene named RNA polymerase III subunit F, with no coding region annotated. NCBI's taxonomy places the organism in Eukaryota, Metazoa, Chordata, Aves, Cuculiformes, Cuculidae. The transcript has 10 exons. The record is from RefSeq and is a predicted model, not a curated record.
CGGCAACCGGCGCCGCUCCCCCCCGUCGCUUGGCUCUGACGUCACCGGCGGCGCCGCGCGGGCGCCAUGGCGGAGGUGAGGGUGAAGGCGGAGACCCCCGAUCCCGUGGAAAUCGAGAGCAGGAUUAUUGAGCUGUGCCAUCAGUUCCCUCACGGCAUCACAGACCAGGUGAUUCAAAAUGACAUGCCUCACAUGGAAGCCCAGCAGCGCGCCAUGGCUAUCAACAGGCUCCUCUCCAUGGGGCAGCUGGACCUUCUCAGGAGCAAUGCAGGUCUCCUCUACAGGAUCAAAGAGUCUCAGAAUGCAAGUAAAAUGAAGGGCUCUGACAAUCAAGAGAAGCUGGUUUACCAAAUUAUAGAAGACGCAGGCAACAAAGGUAUUUGGAGCAGGGACAUCAGAUACAAAAGCAAUUUGCCUUUAACGGAGAUUAACAAGAUACUGAAAAAUUUGGAAAGCAAGAAACUAAUUAAAGCAGUUAAAUCUGUAGCAGCAUCCAAGAAGAAGGUGUACAUGCUGUAUAACUUGCAGCCGGACCGGUCGGUGACUGGUGGGGCUUGGUACAGUGACCAAGACUUUGAGUCAGAAUUUGUGGAGGUGUUAAAUCAACAGUGCUUUAAAUUUCUACAGAGUAAGGCAGAGGCAGCUCGUGAGAGCAAACAGAACCCUAUGAUACAGAGGAACAGCUCAUUUGCCUCAUCCCAUGAGGUGUGGAAAUACAUCUGUGAGCUGGGGAUCAGUAAGGUAGAGUUGUCAAUGGAAGACAUUGAAACCAUUUUAAAUACGCUGAUAUAUGAUGGAAAAGUGGAGAUGACGAUUAUUGCUGCAAAGGAAGGGACAGUAGGCAGUGUGGAUGGACAGAUGAAGCUGUACAGAGCCAUUAGUCCUCUCAUACAACCUACUGGAUUAGUCAGGACGCCCUGUGGACUCUGCCCUGUUUUUGAUGAUUGCCAUGAGGGUGGUGAGAUUUCUCCAUCAAACUGUAUUUACAUGACAGAGUGGCUGGAAUUUUGAAGUGAAAGAAAACUGUAAACGGGAUUUGUGCUUCACAGCCAAGGCGGCAAAGCUGCUUGCUCUUUUCAAAAGUGAACUUCUAAAUUCGAGAGUGACUUCAGGACACAGAGUGACUUCGUUUUUAAUGAAACACAAAGCAGCAGCAUAUCAGUUGCAUGAGGAUUCCUAUGAGUGGACUGGAAAUUGAGUCAGCACUGAAUAUCCAGGCUGAAGUGGAAAUGUAGAUCCAUUCUUGUCCCAAAAAUUGUUUGCAUAACUUGAAAAGUGCCAGUUAACAGAUGGGUGGUGAUGGAUUCCAAGGAUUGUGUUGAGUAUUCCACAGAUGCUUAUUUUUAAUGAGAGAAAGCAAGUCAUUAGCUGAUCAGAAAGACUUGCUAAUGAGUGUUGCCAAGAAUGAGAUCCCAAACUUUGCUGUCAGACUGAUGCUGCUAGUGAGUCCUCAAGUCCUCAAGCUGACGCCUUUCUCCCAUGACAGCUACCAUCUAAUGGAAGAUAAAGAAUCCAAUGUGGGAAACAUCCUGAAUAUGUCAAGCAGAACUCACUGAUUCUUCAUUAUCUUUCUUACCUGUGUUGUCUGGAGGUGACAGGAACGCAUAUCUCUACAGAGGCCGAAGAGCUCUCACAAAAGAGAUGAGGGGAUAAAAUGCUCAGCUGUUUGUUCUUCCUCUGUCCUCUUUAACCACUCAGCACGCUGAGGUCUGAGGAAGACACUUGCUCAUUUCACUGGUCAGAGCCUUAACCCCACCUUCAGGCAUCCGCUAUGUGGCCAAAGGUAACUCCACUGAGGUGUGGGGCUGCGUUGCCUUUGUCUUCCUGAGUUCAAAGAAGACAGAACACAAUAGGGUCCUGGAUCCUGCUGCUGCAGAGAUAAGACAUUGUUUGUGCUCUACUGCAGCUGGAAGAUAGCUUUCAGGAGACAACAUGCCUUUAUCAUGCAGGUAUGUCACGCAGUAUAACCAUACCCACUGGCAAUAAGAAAAAGGGGAGAGAGCUUGUCAGUGAACAGCUUUAGGUAGGAAAGAUCUGGUUUGUUAAGAUCUUCAAAUUCUGGCUCAUUUGUGUUUGGUUUAUCUGGUUUCGGUGACCUUUGUCUCUGAAGCUUCUUAGUGUUGCAGCUGUAACAAGACUUCUCAAAUGUGGAAAAAAAGUACGCCUAUAGAGAAAAGUAAAGCAAUUUCACUUUCCUGUUUGUAAAACAGGAAUCUGUCUGGUUACAAAUCACUACAAAAUUUAAUGUUUGAGGAAGCUGCAAUACUCCAGUGCUGAAUAUGAAAACACCAAAGUUAACACUCAAAACAUAGAUAACAUCGUACACUUCGAAGCAUGAUCUGCUCAUUUCUUUAUGCAAGCAUCAUAGGAGAGAUCACAGUGGAGUUGCUACAGGACUGUGAGGGGCAUUCAGGGUCGGGGAGCUGGCUCCCGUUGCAGUGGAACCCUGUUAAUAUGAGCCCCGUUAAUGGGAGCCCCAGGGUGUGUAGACCCCACUGUGACCCUACCUGGCGGUGCUGAGACAUUUCCUCUCCAGCAGUAACCACUGUACAGAAGUGUGUUGGAAGGUAGUCACACCCAAAGUCCAUUUUCACAUGGAAUCCAGCGCAAGAUUGCUUUUUAUUUCCGAGAGAAACAUUAACUACACUACCAGGCUGUGUUGUGAACUGAGGGAAAGCACAGCUCACAGGUGCUGUUUAACAUCUCUUGCCUUUACAGUUCAAAGUUUAAAACAUUAACGGCAAACUUGAAGCUUUGAUAAAGAAAACAUUUAUCCCAUGGCUGAAUGGGUGUUAGGUUUGUCCUGGAUUUGCUUGCUUCAUUUACUCUGAUGAUAAAUCGUGACGCUUAUUCAUCUGGUGCUGUUUGAGUGCCAUCUUCUGUCCCAUCCUGGCGUGACUACCCUGGGGAUCAAGAAAGAAAACUCUUAAACCUUGCUCUGGUUUCCUGUUUGCCUCCACCACUAAAUCUCCUUCUGCUGAACAUCUCAUGCUUUGAAACAGGGUACAGGCACCUGAAAGAGGUCUGUCCUUUGCCACAGACAGACCACCAUCCCCUCUUGCUUCACAGGGCUGGGACUUUCAGUCUGUUCACCUGUGGGAAACUGGUACCCAGGCACUCAGCCACACCUGGAGGAGACAAAAAGGUCCUGUGAGAAGCUCCACGGAUUGUGCCCAAGUUCUUGUUCAAAUGGUUUACUUCCCCCUGAGAAAGUUAAUUAUUGCACUUUGCAUGCUUUUCAGGCGAUCCUGGGGGAGUGGGGAGGAGGGAAAGAGAGCUCAAAGCAUUCUCUUCCAGCUGUUAAAACAAGUUGGGGCUGAUGUAGGCAGCCUGUGUUCCUCCCC